Molecule: long non-coding RNA, 1049 nt
Organism: Oncorhynchus tshawytscha (Chinook salmon)
Lineage: Eukaryota; Metazoa; Chordata; Actinopteri; Salmoniformes; Salmonidae
Source: Ensembl
CCUCAAAACAAUAGGGAGGGUUCGGGUGGGCGUCUGUCCAUGGUGGCGGCUCCGGCGCGGGACGUGGACCCCACUCAGUCAAUGUCUUAGUCCCUUCUCCUCGCGUCCCUGGAUAGUCCACCCUCGCCGCCGAUCAUGGCCUAGUAGUCCUCACCCAGAACCCCACUGGACUGAGGAGCAGAUCGGGACUGAGGGGAAGCUCUGGACUGAGGGGAAGCUCGGGACUGAGAGAAAGCUCGGGAGUGAGAGGAAGCUCGGGAGUGAGAGGAAGCUCGGGAGUGAGAGGAAGCUCAGGCAGGUUGAUGGAUCUACCAGAUCCUGGCCGGCUGGCGGAUCCUGGUCGACUGGCGGAUCCUGGCCGACUGGCGGAUCCUGGCCGACUGGCGGAUCCUGGCAGAUUCCGGCUGACUGGCGGAUCUGGAAGAGUCUGGUUGACUGGCAGAUCUGGAAGAGUCUGGUUGACUGGCAGAUCUGGAAGAGUCUGGUUGACUAGCAGAUCUGGAAGAGUCUGGUUGACUAGCAGAUCUGGAAGAGUCUGGCUGACUGGCAGAUCUGGUUGACUGGCGGAUCUGGAAGAGUCUGGUUGACUGGCGGAUCUGGAAGAGUCUGGCUGACUGGCGGAUCUGGAAGAGUCUGGCUGACUGGCGGAUCUGGAAGAGUCUGGCUGACUGGCGGAUCGGGAAGAGUCUGGCUGACUGGCGGAUCGGGAAGAGUCUGGCUGACUGGCGGAUCGGGAAGAGUCUGGCUGACUGGCGGAUCGGGAAGAGUCUGGCUGACUGGCGGAUCGGGAAGAACUGAAAGAUCUGGCUGCUCCAUGCUGACUGGCGGCUCUGGUUGCUCCAUGUAGGCUGACGGCUCUGGCGGCUUCUUACAGACUGGCAGCUCUGGCGGCUCCGUGCAGACUGGCAGCUCCUUGCAGACUGACAGCUCCUUGCAGACUGGCAGCUCCGUGCAGACUGGCAGCUCCGUGCAGACUGGCAGCUCCUUGCAGACUGGCAGCUCCUUGCAGACUGGCAGCUCUGGCUGCUUCAUGCAGACCGGCAGCUCUG